GACGAACGCUGGCGGCGUGCUUAACACAUGCAAGUCGAACGUAAAGGCCCUGCUUUUGUGGGGUGCUCGAGUGGCGAACGGGUGAGUAACACGUGAGUAACCUUCCCUUGACUUUGGGAUAACUUCAGGAAACUGGGGCUAAUACCGGAUAGGAGCUCCUGCUGCAUGGUGGGGGUUGGAAAGUUUCGCCGGUUGGGGAUGGACUCGCGGCUUAUCAGCUUGUUGGUGGGGUAGUGGCUUACCAAGGCUUUGACGGGUAGCCGGCCUGAGAGGGUGACCGGCCAAAUGGGGACAGAGGUACGGCACAGACUGCAACGGGGGGCAGAAGUGGGGAAUAUUGAACAAGGGGCGGAAGCAUGAUGGAGCAACGCCGCGUGCGGGAUGAAGGCCUUCGGGUUGUAAACCGCUUUCGCCUGUGACGAAGCGUGAGUGACGGUAAUGGGUAAAGAAGCACCGGAUAACUACGUG
Molecule: ribosomal RNA, 468 nt
Filed under: uncultured bacterium
Lineage: Bacteria
Description: partial 16S ribosomal RNA
Rfam family: Bacterial small subunit ribosomal RNA
Source: RNAcentral